Molecule: long non-coding RNA, 1113 nt
Filed under: Sorghum bicolor (sorghum)
Lineage: Eukaryota; Viridiplantae; Streptophyta; Magnoliopsida; Poales; Poaceae
Description: long non-coding RNA (SBIC_LNC004596)
Source: RNAcentral
ACAUGCUUUUACAUAAAAAUCCUUCCAGAUUAAAGUGAAGUGUUAUGAAGUUUAGUACCUGCACUUAAAUCUUAAGUAAUCGAAAGACAAAAUAGUUAAGUCAAGCACGAUCCCUCCUGUUUAUACUUCACCUUUGUUCCAGAGUUUUUCAUAAGUUUUCAAAAUAAAAUUCAGAGUUCCCAGCAAUGAUUCUCUCAAGUCUCUCUAUAUGUGGUAUUUGUGGAUCCUUACCAUAAUGUCACUUACCUAUAGCUAAUGGAAUAAUUAAGUGGAGCUCAUAGGAGUGCAAACAGCUCAUACAUAUGUUGUCUAAUCGAGCCAUGGAUCCAAAGGAACUCAGCAUAUAAUUAAAUCAAGAUGUGCAUGUGUGGUGGAGUAAAUGAUAGUGAUGGUGAUAGUGUUAAUAAAUCUUAGUUCUCAUUGCUCCUCAUAUUGCUAUCUCUCCUCUUCUUUUACCUUUGCCUUGGGAGAACAUGGGCUAUCUUUUCUCUCUUUUUUUUCAGGUGGGUAAUAGAUACCCCUAAUUCUACUGUCGGACACUUGUCCAUUUUUACCUCUCAAGUGGGCAUCUUUGUACCCCUAAUUCUACUUCGGACACUUGUCCAUUUUUACCUCUCGUCUCACUCUUUUUCUUUUAUCGAGGUUCCGGGCACUUGCCCCUUUUUAUUUCCUCGUAUAUAUUUUUUUUUGCAUAACCCAUGCCUCUUCUGCAUUGAAUCCUUUUAGAGAGAGAGAAUAACAAUAUUCGGGACAGUGAGUGAUAAUAUUUUUAGCAAUUUUAAUGAUUGAUAAUGAAUGCUGUGGUAGAUGCGUGCAAGUAAAUAUCUUAAUUUAACCACAUGAAAAACUCCUAAGGGUCAACACAGCUCGAUCAAACUCAAUGUGAAUAUAGUAAAGAUGUUAUAGCAAGUAUGGUUGUGGUAGGUAGUUUGUUAUGCUAGGAACUCAUCAUGUGAUUUGUAAGUUUUCAAAAAUAAAUCUCCAGAACUUAGUGUAGUAGGAACGAGAUAAACAGUAGCUCAACUUUAUAUCAUGCCUUUCUCUUACCUAGACUUUAGUUUAUGCUUUCCCAAAGAUAGUAAUUUUAGUUUUAGUAAUUCCUGGAAGAAUUCU